UGGGGAAUAUUGCACAAUGGGCGAAAGCCUGAUGCAGCAACGCCGCGUGAGUGAUGAAGGCCUUCGGGUUGUAAAGCUCUGUCUUUUGGGACGAUAAUGACGGUACCAAAGGAGGAAGCCACGGCUAACUACGUGCCAGCAGCCGCGGUAAUACGUAGGUGGCAAGCGUUGUCCGGAUUUACUGGGCGUAAAGGAUGCGUAGGCGGAUUUUUAAGUGAGAUGUGAAAUACCCGGGCUUAACUUGGGCGCUGCAUUUCAAACUGGGAAUCUAGAGUGCGGGAGAGGAGAAUGGAAUUCCUAGUGUAGCGGUGAAAUGCGUAGAGAUUAGGAAGAACACCAGUGGCGAAGGCGAUUCUCUGGACCGUAACUGACGCUGAGGCAUGAAAGCGUGGGUAGCAAACAGGAUUAGAUACCCUGGUAGUCCACGCCGUAAACGAUGAGUACUAGGUGUAGGAGGUAUCGACCCCUUCUGUGCCGCAGUUAACACAAUAAGUACUCCGCCUGGGAAGUACGAUCGCAAGAUUAAAACUCAAAGGAAUUGACGGGGUCAUAGCUG
Molecule: ribosomal RNA, 556 nt
Filed under: uncultured bacterium
Lineage: Bacteria
Description: partial 16S ribosomal RNA
Rfam family: Bacterial small subunit ribosomal RNA
Source: RNAcentral